Molecule: ribosomal RNA, 970 nt
Filed under: marine metagenome
Description: bacterial SSU rRNA
Rfam family: Bacterial small subunit ribosomal RNA
Source: RNAcentral
AGAGUUUGAUCCUGGCUCAGGACGAACGCUGGCGGCGGGCCUAAUACAUGCAAGUCGAACGCAGUCGACCUUCGGGUCAUAUGACUGAGUGGCGAACGGGUGAGUAACACGUGAGAAACCUGCCCCGAAGACUGGAAUAACCCGAGGAAACUCGGGCUAAUACCGGAUGUCCCCAGAUGGCCGCAUGGCCGACUGAGGAAAUGCUCCGGCGCUUUGGGAGGGUCUCGCGGCCUAUCAGCUUGUUGGUGAGGUAACGGCUCACCAAGGCUUCGACGGGUAGCUGGUCUGAGAGGACGAUCAGCCACACUGGGACUGAGAUACGGCCCAGACUCCUACGGGAGGCAGCAGUAGGGAAUCUUGCGCAAUGGGCGAAAGCCUGACGCAGCCACGCCGCGUGAGUGAUGAAGGCCUUCGGGUCGUAAAGCUCUUUCAGCAGGGACGAAAAUGACGGUACCUGCAGAAGAAGCCCCGGCCAACUACGUGCCAGCAGCCGCGGUAACACGUAGGGGGCAAGCGUUGUCCGGAUUUAUUGGGCGUAAAGGGCUCGUAGGCUGUUCAGUAAGUCAGGUGUGAAAACUCGAGGCUCAACCUCGAGAUGCCACUUGAUACUGCUGUGACUAGAGUUCGGUAGAGGAGUGUGGAAUUCCUAGUGUAGCGGUGAAAUGCGCAGAUAUUAGGAGGAACACCAACAGCGAAGGCAGCACUCUGGGCCGAUACUGACGCUGAGGAGCGAAAGCGUGGGGAGCGAACAGGAUUAGAUACCCUGGUAGUCCACGCCGUAAACGGUGGGCACUAGAUGUGGGAUCCAGUCAACGGAUUCCGCGUCGUAGCUAACGCAUUAAGUGCCCCGCCUGGGGAGUACGGCCGCAAGGCUAAAACUCAAAGGAAUUGACGGGGGCCCGCACAAGCGGCGGAGCAUGUUGCUUAAUUCGAGGCAACGCGAAGAACCUUACCUGGGUUUGACAUGUAG